Molecule: long non-coding RNA, 985 nt
Organism: Diachasmimorpha longicaudata
Lineage: Eukaryota; Metazoa; Arthropoda; Insecta; Hymenoptera; Braconidae
Exons: 4
Source: RefSeq, a predicted model, not a curated record
AAUAGGCUCGAAAGACCGCCAAAAUAAAUUAUAAAGUCGUAGUAAACAUUGAUCGGAAAGUUUGUCGCAUAAAAAGUGGUUUUCGGUAAAUUAGGGAAAAUCGUGGAGUUUAGGGGCCUGGGACGCCAUGGACCGGAUAAACCGCCAUUUUCAGUGCUUUGUUGCAGCUUGUGGAAGCAUCUCAUGAUGCCAGGCAGGCAUUAGUGUAAUAAUAAGUUCAAAAGUCCGUGUCCCAUCCGGAGAAGUCAUUGGCCGCUACCUCGCGCUCCAGGGGGUACUUGUCGAAGUGUCUGGUAUCCACGGGACCAUUCAACUGGAAUUUCGAUGAUGCCUCUGCAGUUCCCUCGCGCUGUUCCUGUAAAACUUCUGGAGGAAAAAAUAUGCCAGUGACGUUGGAACAGCAGCAACGAGGAACCACGGCGAUAUGAUGACGUUGACGAUCAUCGCGGAGCCACAGAGUAGAACGAAAAAAGUUAAUUUCUGAAAUGCUGUCGGUAGCUUCUUGUCGAUGACUCCCACAUCGGCGCUGAAUCUGUUCAGAAUUCUCCCGAUGGGAGUUUGCUCGAAGAAAUUCAUUGGCGCUCGGAGAAGUGAAUUUAUCGCCUCUUGGUGAAGCCUCUUUCGAGCUAUGGCACCUGCCCACUGACCAGCUGCACUGUUGAACGCCGAGAGGACGAUCGACCCGAUCGAGAGGAUAAUGUACAUCCUGAAGUAGAAGACUGUCUGGAGUGAAAUAUUGGGAACAGCAUGGGAAGUGCCAUCGGAAAGUUGGCCUCGGUCUUCAGAGAUAUGUGACGAUAUCCCGCUUGCAAUCCAUCAAGAGGUAAGAUUCUUUGACCCAAGAGUUUUCCACUCUCAUCGUAGACCCCUACCAUAGAAUUAAACAUUAAAAUCAUUUCCUUGAUUUAUCUUUUUUUUAAUUUUCUCCAUCACUUUUCAAGAUAGAAAAACAAUUUUUUGCUCAAUUAUUUUAUCGACAUUUUUU